Molecule: long non-coding RNA, 960 nt
Organism: Cyprinus carpio (common carp)
Lineage: Eukaryota; Metazoa; Chordata; Actinopteri; Cypriniformes; Cyprinidae
Exons: 2
Source: RefSeq, a predicted model, not a curated record
AAAAGCGUCACAUGCAGCUACACUCCAACUACAACAGUGACAGAAAAAUUCUCCUUCUUUGUGCAAGCGUCGUGUGGAUGGAAGAAACUCAGUUUCACUGUUGACACAACAGUUUACUUAGGACUUAACAAAGCAAGAUCAUCUCCACCAGAGACAGCAGCGGGUCUUGGAUUCAAGGAUACUGUCAUCAGUGUGGCUGUGAGCGGUUUAAUCAUCUUCCUCAUCAUCAUCAUGACAAUCAUGUACAAAACAAAACCAAACUUUACCAAACUUUCAGAACAAGAUGUUACUGUUUGUCAGACAUGAUGAGGACAGCAGCAAUCACCCAGAUAUAUAAGGAUUAAGUCAACAGUAUGAAACUACUGACUUUGUUUGAUUUUCUAUAUGGUGCUCACAAAAGACACACGCUUUAUUAUAUCUCAAACCUAAUAUAUAACUCUGGCUGUACACUGUAAAAAAAUUUGACCAUAAAUUCACAGUAAAUUACUGGCUGCUAGUUGCAUUACUUUCACCGUAAUUUACUGUAUGUAAAUUCACAGUAAAUUACUGUAAACUAGUUACAUUACUUUCACAGUAAGAUACUGUAUCAUUUUUACAGUAAAUAAUUGUGAAAUGACAGCUGUAUACUGUGACCUCACGGUAGUUAUUCCAUACUCUGAUUUGGCAGUAUGCUCCUGUAGAAUUACUGAUUUAGCUGUGAAGUUACAGUUAAUGCCAUCAGAUUACUACAAUUUAGCAGUAUUCUGCUGUAGAAUUACAGUGUAAACUGAAAUAGUUGUGCAAAUCAGUAGCCAGUAAUAUGCUUUUAAUUUAUUAUACAAUGUAUUGUUAAUUAACAACUUUUAAUUUAAAAUAUUGUUAAUUUAGUAUAAAAUACUGUUGUUUAGAAAUCUGAUCUUUUAACCCAUCACUGGAAAGAUAUGUUCAAUUCAAAUAAACACAAAAUAUUUCGUACAUUUA